GACGAACGCUGGCGGCGCGCUUAACACAUGCAAGUCGAACGGUGAAGCGCCUUCCUUUUUGGUGGGUGUGGAUGAGUGGCGAACGGGUGAGUAACACGUGAGUAACCUGCCCCCUUCUUCUGGAUAACCGCAUGAAAGUGUGGCUAAUACGGGAUAUUCUGGGUCUGUCGCAUGAUGGGUCUGGGAAAGAUAUUGUUUCGGUGGGGGAUGGGCUCGCGGCCUAUCAGCUUGUUGGUGGGGUGAUGGCCUACCAAGGCGGUGACGGGUAGCCGGCCUGAGAGGGUGGACGGUCACACUGGGACUGAGACACGGCCCAGACUCCUACGGGAGGCAGCAGUGGGGAAUAUUGCACAAUGGGCGCAAGCCUGAUGCAGCGACGCCGCGUGAGGGAUGGAGGCCUUCGGGUUGUGAACCUCUUUCGCCAGUGAAGCAGGCCUGCCUCGUUUGUGGGUGGGUUGACGGUAGCUGGAUAAGAAGCGCCGGCUAACUACGUG
RNAcentral lists this ribosomal RNA (494 nucleotides) under uncultured bacterium. Its description in RNAcentral is "partial 16S ribosomal RNA". It matches the Rfam family "Bacterial small subunit ribosomal RNA", at positions 28 to 507 of the family's 1533-position model. The record is from RNAcentral.